CUGAUAAUACAACUUCAAACGUAACAAUAUCUUGACAAAUUAAAGACACAUUUUUUCGUGUUCAAAUAUUAUGGGAAGAAAACUCUGUUUCUUUUUGUCUUUCACGUACUUUUCGCCUGUGCGACACACACAGACCAUAGGUUUAUCGUCUCUGGCUUUAUCUUACUGUUAAAAAUGGUAUUUGAAGUUUCGUUUUAUAUCUGCAGUAACAACAGUAUUGUGGAAUCAGGCAAGAUGUAACGCCAGCUUACCGAGGUCUUCUUUAUCUGUUCUUCACGACGCCCGAUUUACACCAGGGUUACGUCUAUUGCAGUUUUUUUUUAUGAAUGCAUGGUUUAGCCCCUGACGGAUAUUACAUACCACAUAUGAGAGUAAAUAGAUAUCCAUGCCUUAAUAGGUAUUUGAACUCUUAGGUCGAAGCGGCGCGCGACUGCACAGCCAACAGGAUUGGCAACCUAACUGCAUGGUAUUUAAGUAUUCAUUCGUUUUCUGUCUGCUGUUGAGGUGAAGCGAAUGAAGAAUUAAAGAAUAGGAGAGGUUUCUAGUAGAAAAUAUUUCUCGACUUACGAGGAAAACAGUACUGAAGCAACAGCAGCAUUGAUUUUCUAUCACCAUACGAGUCAUGCACCUGAGUGUUAAUAGCUAUUGUAAAAAUAUCUAAACUAAAGUAAGCUAUCCUAAACUAAUUUAGCUUAUCCUGUGUUGAUGGAGCACUGCUUAAAAUAAAUUAUAUCACAUCAAACUAACUCGCUUGAGUUUUAUUAGUAACGCCAGGGUUACUUGCGACUUUCACCAUUCAUAAUAUAUUGGCUACACUGUGGCCUGCUCAGCUUGCCAAGGCGCAGGGCAUGAUGGGACAAAAGUUGAGAAGUAUGCGCGAGAGUGAUCGAACCUCCAAACUUUACUGCAUUGGUUUAUUUUUGUCUGCUGUUGGAAUUAUAUACCAUAUAAAGCAGAAAUAGAGAGGAAAUUUAGCAGAAGAAAGAAAUGAUGGGGAGAAGUGCCGGAAACUGAAAUGUGGUCUUACGAGUUAUGGCAUCUUGUAGUUUUAUAGGUUGUUACCAACGCUUCGGAGGAACUUGCUGCCUCCAUUUUCAGAGAAGAUGGAGACAGCUACUCUGGGACACCACCUACGAAUUUGUCAAGAUGCCAUAACCCAGAAGGAACAUGUUGCCUCUGGUCAAAGUGAGUAAGACAAGGAUGCAGUCAGGUUAUACUGGAUGUCAAGUGGAGACAGAACCCAGCCUGGCCCAAGAAGUCUUCUCUUCCUCUUCUCCUCUCCAUUGGCAGGCCAUGGCAUCAGCGGUGUUGAACCUUCAGGUUGUGCUACCAGGGGAUUAGUUAAUUAGUAAGACAGAUCUUAGGGAAGUAGAUUGUGAGGAUGGGAGAUGGAUGGAACUGUUUCAGGAUCAUGUCUGAUGGU
Long non-coding RNA from Cryptotermes secundus, 1423 nucleotides. RefSeq lists it as uncharacterized. Lineage: Eukaryota; Metazoa; Arthropoda; Insecta; Blattodea; Kalotermitidae. The record is from RefSeq and is a predicted model, not a curated record. The transcript has 3 exons.